UCUCAUCUCUUCUCGCUUUGCUCUCUUUUUCUUUUUCAUUUUGUCUCAACACAACACACAUACACACACUCCUCUCCCUCACUCUCCCACCGGUACACUCCUAGCUCAUCACCUCCACCAUUUUUCUGGCAAGAUCACCGGAAAACCCUCAAGAACAUCACACCUUCACAUAAGUUAUUUGAGGUUCUAGCUAAUUUCAUUUGGAGCUUGGAAAAUUAGGCUUUUGUCGGUUGCGAAGUAAGUAGCUUUCUAAUGGGAUUUUUGGAAAAUAAUCAUGUUGUAUAAACAUUGUUUUUGGGUCAAACACAUUUUGGAAAAUUAAUGGUGGAACUAUGUUUUUCUAAAAAGUGUUGUGCUGUGACCCUACUAUAUAUGAUUAUAUAUGAAAGUGCAUAUUCUUAUUGCAUAUGGGGAAUUGCAUGAUUUGUUAGCAUAUAAAAGACUAGCAUCUUGAUUAAAUUCUUGAGAAUGAAUUUUAUGGAUUUAUAGCAUUAUUUGCAAAAUAUAUAGAUGCUUUAUCUUGACCUACGUUAUUUGGGAAGUUAAUACAAAAUCAUUUUGACAAGAAAUGAGUUGAGGGCUUUGAGAACUUUGUGAAUAUCUUGGGCAUUCAAAUAUUUUAUGAAACUACUUGGAAGUGAAUUAUGUAUUUUGAAUUAAAGGUAAUUUGUGAGCUCUUUAUGUUCUACCCAUGUGCUGUGAUGUGUGAUUACCCGCUGCCUAGCUAGAUACUAUAGUCUGUGUGACAUUGGUAUCUUAGCACCCAUCUUUGUGAUGGUUAUUGAGUUCUGUCUUUGUAACGGCGAUGAGUUCCGUCUUUGUGACGGCAUUGUCAUGCAGCCUUGGGUUUGGAAUUGUAUUGUUAUUGCUCACAAAUUAUAGUAUGUAGUUUCAUGAGAGCAUUUUGAGAAGCUUUGUGCCAUGUCAUUUGAUUCAUUCU
Quercus robur (English oak) is the source of this 940-nucleotide long non-coding RNA. RefSeq lists it as uncharacterized. The transcript is spliced from 2 exons. The record is from RefSeq and is a predicted model, not a curated record. Lineage: Eukaryota; Viridiplantae; Streptophyta; Magnoliopsida; Fagales; Fagaceae.